AUUGAACGCUGGCGGAAUGCUUUACACAUGCAAGUCGAACGGCAGCACGGGGCAACCUGGUGGCGAGUGGCGAACGGGUGAGUAAUACAUCGGAACAUGCCCAAUCGUGGGGGGAUAACGUAGCGAAAGUUACGCUAAUACCGCAUACGAUCUACGGAUGAAAGCGGGGGAUCGCAAGACCUCGCGCGAGUGGAGCGGCCGAUGUCAGAUUAGGUAGUUGGUGGGGUAAAGGCUCACCAAGCCAACGAUCUGUAGCUGGUCUGAGAGGACGACCAGCCACACUGGAACUGAGACACGGUCCAGACUCCUACGGGAGGCAGCAGUGGGGAAUUUUGGACAAUGGGCGCAAGCCUGAUCCAGCCAUUCCGCGUGCAGGAUGAAGGCCUCGGUUGUAAC
RNAcentral lists this ribosomal RNA (396 nucleotides) under uncultured bacterium. RNAcentral's name for it is "bacterial SSU rRNA". It matches the Rfam family "Bacterial small subunit ribosomal RNA", at positions 30 to 429 of the family's 1533-position model. The record is from RNAcentral.